Molecule: ribosomal RNA, 203 nt
Filed under: uncultured bacterium
Lineage: Bacteria
Description: partial 16S ribosomal RNA
Rfam family: Bacterial small subunit ribosomal RNA
Source: RNAcentral
CUCGUAGGUGGCCAACUAAGUCAGACGUGAAAUCCCCAGGCUUAACCUGGGAACUGCGUCUGAUACUGGAUGGCUUGAAUUCGGGAGAGGGAUGCAGAAUUCCAGGUGUAGCGGUGAAAUGCGUAGAUAUCUGGAGGAAUACCGGUGGCGAAGGCGGCAUCCUGGACCGAGAUUGACACUGAUGAGCGAAAGCAGGGAGCAAC